This 75-nucleotide transfer RNA is filed under the name Klebsiella pneumoniae. RNAcentral describes it as "tRNA-Asn". It matches the Rfam family "tRNA". From Rfam's summary of the family: Transfer RNA (tRNA) molecules are approximately 80 nucleotides in length. Their secondary structure includes four short double-helical elements and three loops (D, anti-codon, and T loops). The record is from RNAcentral. Lineage: Bacteria; Pseudomonadati; Pseudomonadota; Gammaproteobacteria; Enterobacterales; Enterobacteriaceae.
UCCUCUGUAGUUCAGUCGGUAGAACGGCGGACUGUUAAUCCGUAUGUCACUGGUUCGAGUCCAGUCGAGGAGCCA